This is a long non-coding RNA of Bactrocera oleae (olive fruit fly), 472 nucleotides long. RefSeq lists it as uncharacterized. The record is from RefSeq and is a predicted model, not a curated record. Lineage: Eukaryota; Metazoa; Arthropoda; Insecta; Diptera; Tephritidae.
UUUCACUAUUUAUUUUCAACUUAUUCGAUCGCAGCAUGAAAUUACUCGCUUAUAUGUUGUUAUUUUGCUUGGCUGCCACCGCUUUCGGUUACUGUCGGAUGGUGUCAGUUAGAAUAACUACAACUCGAAGAGUUUGUCAACGAUCCUGCAUUCCGAUCCCUGGCCAAUCCAUUGUUUGUGCUACAGUAAGAGCUGGCCAAAUUAUUGCGCUCUGUCCGCCGACUUGCUGUCGCAUGGCCAAUUCCUGUCAUCUACCGAACAGAGUAUGAGGGGGACAACAAAAAGUUAUUAGAAAAUUUCAAGUAAUUUAGCUGUGACAGAAAAUAUAAAAAAGUAUUCCUCAAUUUCAAACUCUCUGUUGACUGUGAUGGAUACGGAUAUGCGAGUACUCGUAUAAGGUCCAGUAAAGAUAAAUACAUUAAUAACGCUAGUAGCCCGAAUUUCGAGCGUUUUUUUGGCAAUUAAUAAAAAA